Molecule: long non-coding RNA, 1364 nt
Filed under: Anser cygnoides (Swan goose)
Lineage: Eukaryota; Metazoa; Chordata; Aves; Anseriformes; Anatidae
Description: lncRNA (ENSACDG00005002220.1)
Source: RNAcentral
AGAGUGGCAAUGCACUUCAUCUCUAUCAGCCUGAGUUUAGGGACAUCAGAGCCUCUACAAUUAACUUUUUUUUUUUUCUAUUUAAAUAGCUUGUAUAUGUCAUUGAUUAAGGUAACCAAGUGGAUUUUGUUCAAUCAAAAUUCUGCAAGAAAUUUGUCUUUGGUACAGCACCAUUGCUUUGGCUGGGUGGAAAGGAACAACUGGCUGAAACCCAGCAGACUGCCAGCUCUCCAAAUACAGUUGUAAAAUCAGAAAUAAUGUCCAAACGUCUAUUUCUAGGAGCUUCUCCGAGCAUUCGUUUUUUGUCCUUCUGCCGCUUAGCAUGUUUGUGAGCAGCCCAUGAUAAGGCACAGAAUCACUGUUGCUAAAGCUUGAAAUGUCACUAAGAUUGGGAGAGCGGUAAAUAAUGAAAAGGAGGGACUGCUGAUAAAAGCAAUUUGUAUUGCUCGGAUGCAGGCAGGUAGCAGCUCUCAGAUGGCCAACUGUAAAUUUCUCUAUCUAGGAGCAAACAAUACAGGCCGUACCUCCAGGAUGCUGUCUGGAGAAAUCGUGUCUUUGUGGGGAGCAGAAGAGGCAGGACGAGCAGUGCUAGCGUGAGAGCACGGCCAAAGGUCUUGUGUGCUCCUUGCUCGGGCUGCCAGCUGGCUCCCGGGGUGGAGGAGGUGGCGGUGUCCCUGUCCCCAGCACGCCAGGGACACCAAGGAGGCUCCACGGAGGGCUGCAGGAGUGCCGGGUGAGCGGGGAGUUUCCAGCGGAGUCCAGGAGCUCGAUCUGCUUCACUUACGGAGAGCAUUGGAAGCAGGCAGAGUCAUCCUCCUGGCACCCAUGGGAAGGGUUCCCAGGGCAGGUCCCAGAUGGCCCCGUCCAUCCCCACCCUCGCUGCUCCCCCAGACACAGCGGCGCUGGGUGCCCCCCAGUGUGCCAGUGCGGAGCUCUGUCGGAGAAACCCCUCGCCCUGCUGCUUCAGGGUCACGUUCACAUCUUCUGUUGGUUUUUCUGCCGUCAGUACACGUGGACGACAGGCAUCUUGCCUGCCUGGGGUGGUGCAAUGUUUAACUGCCUGAGGCUUUGUACUGAAAAACGAGAAAGGUGGGCAGUCGUGUGCCUCCUCUGAGGACCAGCUCUUCCUAAACAAACCCACGGUUAAGGAUGGGUCCAAGACAAGGACUUGAUAGGAGAAGAGAAGAAAAAUCACAAAUCUGUAUUUUUUUUUUUAAUAGUACAUCAGCAAUGUGGAGGAGCUAAGGCAGCCUGCACGUGCAACCUGUGGUUUUGAAAGAGCCCCUGUUAAAGGAAAUAUUGAGGGGUAAAAAAGCUUGCUCUGGGUUAGAAACAGAAAACAAAUAAAGCAUCAGCUUUUUACA